Molecule: ribosomal RNA, 440 nt
Filed under: uncultured bacterium
Lineage: Bacteria
Description: partial 16S ribosomal RNA
Rfam family: Bacterial small subunit ribosomal RNA
Source: RNAcentral
CCUACGGGUGGCAGCAGUGGGGAAUAUUGCACAAUGGGAGAAACCCUGAUGCAGCGACGCCGCGUGAGUGAAGAAGUAAUUCGUUAUGUAAAGCUCUAUCAGCAGGGAAGAAAAUGACGGUACCUGAGUAAGAAGCCCCGGCUAACUACGUGCCAGCAGCCGCGGUAAUACGUAGGGGGCAAGCGUUAUCCGGAUUUACUGGGUGUAAAGGGGGCGCAGACGGCAGUGCAAGCCAGAAGUGAAAGCCCGGGGCCCAACCCCGGGACUGCUCUUGGAACUGCGCGGCUGGAGUGCAGGAGGGGCAAGCGGAAUUCCUGGUGUAGCGGUGAAAUGCGUAGAUAUUAGGAGGAACACCAGUGGCGAAGGCGGUCUACUGGACAGCAACUGACGCUGAGGCGCGAAAGCGUGGGGAGCAAACAGGAUUAGAUACCCGGGUAGUC